RNAcentral lists this ribosomal RNA (265 nucleotides) under uncultured bacterium. Its description in RNAcentral is "partial 16S ribosomal RNA". It matches the Rfam family "Bacterial small subunit ribosomal RNA", at positions 793 to 1055 of the family's 1533-position model. The record is from RNAcentral.
GUCCACGCCGUAAACGAUGCGUGCUAGACGUUGGGGGCAUGCCCUUCGGUGUCGCAGCUAACGCGGGAAGCACGCCGCCUGGGGAGUACGGUCGCAAGAUUAAAACUCAAAGGAAUUGACGGGUGCCCGCACAAGCGGUGGAGCAUGUGGUUUAAUUCGAAGCAACGCGCAGAACCUUACCAGCCCUUGACAUGGGGCGUGCGGCCUCGGGAGACCGGGGCCAUCAGUUCGGCUGGCGCCCACACAGGUGCUGCAUGGCUGUCGU